GUUGUGAGGUUAAGCGACUAAGCGUACACGGUGGAUGCCCUGGCAGUCAGAGGCGAUGAAGGGCGUACUAAUCUGCGAUAAGCGCCGGUAAGGUGAUAUGAACCGUUAUAACCGGCGAUACCCGAAUGGGGAAACCCAGUGUGAUUCGUCACACUAUCAUUAACUGAAUCCAUAGGUUAAUGAGGCGAACCGGGGGAACUGAAACAUCUAAGUACCCCGAGGAAAAGAAAUCAACCGAGAUUCCCCCAGUAGCGGCGAGCGAACGGGGAGGAGCCCAGAGCCUGAAUCAGCAUGUGUGUUAGUGGAAGCGUCUGGAAAGGCGCGCGAUACAGGGUGACAGCCCCGUACACAAAAGCGCAUGUGCUGUGAGCUCGAUGAGUAGGGCGGGACACGUGGUAUCCUGUCUGAAUAUGGGGGGACCAUCCUCCAAGGCUAAAUACUCCUGACUGACCGAUAGUGAACCAGUACCGUGAGGGAAAGGCGAAAAGAACCCCGGCGAGGGGAGUGAAAAAGAACCUGAAACCGUGU
RNAcentral lists this ribosomal RNA (528 nucleotides) under Salmonella enterica subsp. enterica serovar Enteritidis. Its description in RNAcentral is "partial 23S ribosomal RNA". It matches the Rfam family "Bacterial large subunit ribosomal RNA", at positions 1 to 561 of the family's 2925-position model. The record is from RNAcentral. Lineage: Bacteria; Pseudomonadati; Pseudomonadota; Gammaproteobacteria; Enterobacterales; Enterobacteriaceae.